UACGUAGGGUGCAAGCGUUUAUCGGAAUUACUGGGUGUAAAGCGUGCGCAGGCGGUUUCGUAAGUCUGUCGUGAAAUCCCCGGGCUUAACCUGGGAAUGGCGAUGGAGACUGCGAGGCUAGAGUUUGGCAGAGGGGGGUAGAAUUCCACGUGUAGCAGUGAAAUGCGUAGAGAUGUGGAGGAACACCGAUGGCGAAGGCAGCCCCCUGGGUCAAAACUGACGCUCAUGCACGAAAGCGUGGGGAGCAAACAGG
RNAcentral lists this ribosomal RNA (253 nucleotides) under uncultured bacterium. Its description in RNAcentral is "partial 16S ribosomal RNA". It matches the Rfam family "Bacterial small subunit ribosomal RNA", at positions 524 to 776 of the family's 1533-position model. The record is from RNAcentral.